AGCUCCACCACUACCACCGCUGAUCACAGGCAAGGAAGACAGCCAUUGAGCACACCCAUUGCACUGUCUAUCGUUGUUAAGGAAUGGAUCAUAUUUGCAACCUGGUCGCUUUCUACUAAACAACCAAGCACUGCCACAAGACGCUUGAAGUCCACCUCCAUGAAGGGACUCGUAAAGCCGUUACCGUUCAAGGUGGAGUCGGAAACCGCGUCAUCAAACUUGAGUUCCUGCGAGUUGUCGGACUUGGUGUCGCAACUCACUAACCUCCAGAGUCUCUACCUCUCCAGAUGCUUCAAACAAACUUGCUCUCCCAAUCUAGGUGUAUAUGAAGUAGCAGAUGUCUCACUAACCAACAGAUCAAUCCCCACGAAAGUGAGCUUCAACAACAGAUGCAAUUGUAGCUUUUGGUUUCCUAAUAAAAAAAUUCAGUUGAUCAGCAGCAACGAUUUUUUAGUCGAUUAUUAAACUCUUUCAGAAUAGUCUCCAUUUGGGAUUUUGCAGCUUGUACUUCUUGCUGAACCUGUAACGUUUCCCUUGCCAUAAGAGCUAUCUUGCGUAACUUAAGAUCUUUUGCCUCGUCGUGAAACCUGAAUGAAGAGGUGCAGUGGGCGCGACCGUGAGGUGCGGAUGAUGGAGCCUGUAGUCUAACGCCGAUGACAAGAAGGGAGAUGAGUGUUUGGUUUGAGGAUUUGGCUUUGAGAUGGGAUUUGUGUGCGACAAGCUGCCUUGCACCCUAGUGGGGAUGAACGACUAUGUGAUAGGCACUGAAACCAGGCAGGAGCAGAACCUUGCCAUAAAAUAGCCAAAGAAUCAUUUCUUUUCGAUGGACAUAGUGGAUCUCCUGUAGAGUCUAAGAAACACAGCAAAUCCAAUUUGCAAUCACUUCUUCAACAUUUUUGAUCUAGCGCCUCUUUCAACUUCCUUAAACUGAACCUCCUUCACAAUUUCUGCAAUGCUUUCAUCAGGUACGGAUUUGAACGGAUGUCGAUGUAGUCGCCUCUGUAUUCUCUGUGAAACGAAGCUUUUCUACGGACCUUGAUGCCCAUGAUCGGUUUCUGAUCUUCAGUCGCGUUGCAGUCGAAUAGCCUUGUCGGCAUACCACCACUGCCAUCUCCAUCGUCGUCGUCCGGGGCAUCUGAGUGGUCAUCUUCUUCUUCACCUGCCAUGUCGUACUUGGGAAUCUCGGGUUUGGAUUCAACGUUCAAGAUGUGGGUGGUCUUAAUAUUGGCAGUGUCGGCUUCGAGCGAGCUGCGAUUCUCGAGGC
Molecule: long non-coding RNA, 1264 nt
Filed under: Malus domestica (apple)
Lineage: Eukaryota; Viridiplantae; Streptophyta; Magnoliopsida; Rosales; Rosaceae
Description: long non-coding RNA (MDOM_LNC019153)
Source: RNAcentral